Long non-coding RNA from Mytilus californianus (California mussel), 521 nucleotides. RefSeq lists it as uncharacterized. Lineage: Eukaryota; Metazoa; Mollusca; Bivalvia; Mytilida; Mytilidae. The transcript has 4 exons. The record is from RefSeq and is a predicted model, not a curated record.
AAAUAUUAUAUUUUACAGAAUAAGAAAAAUGAAGAGUGUACUUGCUAUAGUUCUGCUGUUCGUGUGUCUUGUUGGACAAGGCUUCCCUAUCCUUUAGAUAUUCACUGCAAAUCUUCUCUAUUCUUACGACAUAGACAUCCUGUAGAUGUAGACCCCUCCCUAGCAAGCACCACUAAUUUAGUAUACUUAAUAGAAAAACAAAGGUAUGGUAUCCGUAAAUGGACAGUCUGUGAUGAUGACCAACGAUCAAUGUAAACGUGUCGUAAAAGGUUGCAUGUCCAACAAUUACAAAAAGGCUGUGCAAGCGGACAAGAAUUGUAAUGACUGUUGCAGACGAUCGGGUUGUGCCCGUGGUGAUUGUAAGCGCAGGCAUUGUGAUUGCAAAAGUUGUGGUAGAGGAUAAAAAGUCGUCAUCUGUUUGAGAUUCACAGCUUACUGUUAACGUACUAUGCUUAAUUACCGUUAUCAUUAUUCGAGACAUUCACUUGCAUUAUUCAAUAAAAUAAACUAACGAAUAUCAA